This 505-nucleotide ribosomal RNA is filed under the name uncultured archaeon. RNAcentral describes it as "bacterial SSU rRNA". It matches the Rfam family "Archaeal small subunit ribosomal RNA", at positions 352 to 859 of the family's 1478-position model. The record is from RNAcentral.
UCAAUGCACUAACGUGCGAAGGGGUUACCUCGAGUGCUAUCUGAUGAAGGUGGCUUUUCCAUGGUCUAAAAAGCCUAGGGAAUAAGAGGGGGGCAAGACUGGUGUCAGCCGCCGCGGUAACACCAGCCCCUCGAGUGGUGGGGAUGAUUAUUUGGCCUAAAGCGUCCGUAGCCUGCCGGAUAAGUUUCCCGUUAAAUCCAACGUCUCAAGCGUUGGACUGCGGGAGAUACUGUCUGGCUAGAGAGUGGGAGAGGUCAGCGGUAUUCUGGGGGUGGGGGCGAAAUCCUUUGAUCCCCGGAGGACCACCAGUGGCGAAGGCUGCUGACUAGAACACGUCUGACGGUCAGGGACGAAAGCUGGGGUAGCGAACCGGAUUAGAUACCCGGGUAGUCCCAGCCGUAAACGAUGCAUGCUAGGUGUUGGGUUGGCCACGAGCCACCCCAGUGCCGCAGGGAAGCCGUUAAGCAUGCCGCCUGGGAAGUACGGUCGCAAGAUUGAAACUUAA